CUGCAUUUUACAAAUUAAAAAUGGUUACAAUCGUUCCGUACUUCUGUUAAUUCCACAUUGAUACUACAGAUCGAGAUCGCACAAGUAAAAAAACCUGUCAUUUUAUUUUCAUAAAAUGAGUAUCUGUAACUAAUAAUUCACUUCCCUUGCCUCUUCCAGUAUGAAUUGUUAAAAGGUUAUUUGUCCCCAGUCGGAGGACGACAUUGUUUAACAUUAUAUCGAUGUUUUCAAUUAUACCGAAUGCAGAAGAAAAUGGGGUCACAUCUGAAUGAAUUCCUUGUUUAUCCAGGAUGAGAUUAAGUAAUCCCCGAUUGACGCUUGAAAAUGGAGCCUUAUCGUUCAUCUGUGUUCACGAAUCGAAGAGUGUUCCCAUAUUGGUUGUUUUUCAUUGUGUUCCGUCCCCCGUAGCGAAACGCCUGAGGCAGAAGUCGUUGCUGAUCGCUAUAACCUUUGAAUCGUAAAGACAGUUUCGAACGAGCCAGACGAAGUACUCUUAUACUUGCUAACUAUUUGAAAAUGUCGAGAUAUCAGUAAGGACGGGAAAAUUCUCGAUUCAUCGUGAAGAUAGCAGUUAUGUGUGGAGAGCACGGUCUUGAAGAAUACAUUAGUGCACUUCGACGAACACAAUUUGAUGCUACGAGUGCUUUUUGGUCGUUCCAGUUAGACUUUAUAUCCGCUACAGUACAACAAGUUGUGUAAUAACGACAGAAAUGGAAUUCAUGAAAGACUACCUCUAUUCUUCAGUCAUAGAGACUGUUAUAUAACUGUGGAACGAAGAGAAGAAGUUUAUUGUAACAGAAAAAUAAUAUACAAAUUGUGGAACGAAGUGAUUUUAAUUAAAAUUUUCUCAAGAAUCGAGAACAAGAAAACGUAUUCACAAUAUGCACAAUAAUAGCAACUUAUUUUAAAGAAGUUUAUGUACUUGCUCAAUGUACCUUCUACAGACUCGUUAUAUCUUUUGAAGAAGUAAAAUUUGUAUUCUUUUCUUGAGUAUCUCAAAGACACAAAAUCUCAAAAAUCGUAUCACUCAAAGCCUUGUUUAGAUCAAAUUGAGUAAAUAGAACCUUAAGGAGCUUGCAAAAAAUUCUAUACAUAUUUUAUACUGUUUGAUCAACUUAAAAAAUUUGUUAAUCCUGAAGGAUUCAAUGUAUCAUUAUACAGCAUAAAAUUAUAGUGUUUGUAGAAAGUUAAAUUAUUAUCAAUUCAUACUACUCGAGGUUCUCCCAUGUUUAUUAAAUAUGAAAAGUGUACACCUUUCUACACUUAAGGGGUUAGUCGCAGUCAGGAAAAUGAAAACGGACACGUUCUUGUGUGUUUUUUUUUAAAUAUUAAAUAAUAAUUUUUAUUAAUAAAAUUUAAAUAUAUGGCAAAAUAUAUCUUAAAAAACUAUAAAGAAAUUUUUGUUUUAAAAAAAGGUUAAUUACUUUCGUCAUAACAGGCGAUGUUGUGGGUGGCCAUUUUGUUUGCGGUGAGCAAGAUUUCUUCAAACUGGUAUACCUGAAAACAAAAAUAAAGGUAGAUUUGGAGAAUAUAUUAGACUAACGGGUCCCUGAUCAAAGGAUUUUGGAAAAAAUUAAUUUAAAACAAAAUGACGCACAUUUGAAGUUGAAGUUCAAUUUCCAUUAUAAAAUUAAAUGAUUAAAGAGAGAAUAAAAAGAAAAGUAUAUAAGAAAAUUAAAAAAUCCUUCGAUCAGGGACCCGUUAGUCUAAUAUAUUUUCUAAAUCUACCUUUAGUUUUGUUUUCAGGUGCACCAAUUUGAAGAAAUCUUGCUCACCGCAACCAAAAUGGCUACCCACGCCAUUGCCUGUUAUGACGAAAUGAAUUAAUCUUUUUUUGAAACAAAAAUUUCUUUAUAGUUUUUUACGACAUACUUUGUAAUAUAUUUACAUUUCAUUACUAAAAAUUAUUAUUUAAUGCCUUAUAAAAAAACACACAAGAAAGUGUCCGUUUUCAUUUUCCUGGCUGCGACUAACCCCUUAAGAGAAUUGCCCAUACCGCUAAACGAAAUUGGAAAAAUUGGCCGAUUAUUGAUUAUAAUUGGUUACAUAAUUACUUAUUAUUGCUUAGUACAACAAAGUUAUGUUCAUAAGACUCAUUCAUAAUAUGAAUGACCCACUUUCCACUAGAAUUCAUUUUUAUAAGCAUUUUAAAGCAAAAAUUGAAAGUUUAGUUGCAGAUUUUAGAUCAGGUGUACCGACUCUUAUCUACAAAUUUAUUCCACGCACAAUUCGAUUGACCUAUUAAAUAAAGACUUAUGCAUAUAUGCAUACUCGAGUCCGUGAACUAUGGUAACCAGAAACGUACGUUCAGGAGACGAAGGAUACGCAAGAGAGACAGAGAGGAGUCUAUGGCAGCUCAGUCAGAGCGGCAAACGAGGGGGAUGAAGAAGAGAGAAACUACGACAAGGGCUGCUGACAGACAGUGACGGGUACCACUUUAUCCGCGACACGAUUCUGCGCUUACCACAGCCCACCCGUUCACCAUCGCCGUCACCGAUGCCACCCACGACCGAUCUGAUCUGAUCUGAACCUACUCGAUCCGAUCCUUUGCCCGCGCUCCGUAUAUCUGUUGCCUCCUCCUUCGGUCUAUGCCUCCACUCCUUUUUCCUCGUCCCGUGGUCCCCGCUCGAUCCACUGUUUACUCUGCUUUCGUGUUGCUUAUUUUUAUCGGGAAGACAGACACGUUCCGUAGCGGUAAAAAGAGGAGCAAACUAGGAUUCGGGUAUAGAACACCGAACUGGCCUCAUUGCUGCGCGAUCGUGCUUUAAAGAUGCACGCUUCAUGUAGAAGUACACCGUGAAUUCGGUGGUAAUGGAAGUUGGCGGUAGACUCGAAGGAGAUCUCGUGAGAAUUGAUGUGGCGGGUGUUUAGAUAUUUUAUUGUGUCAUGGAAGAAGUGCUUUGCAGGAACAUGAUCGGAGUUCAUCAGCUGUUAAUCGUCGUCAGUCAGUCGUUAAGAGAUCAAAAACUGUAGCGAAAUGUUCAUUCAAGUUUACGACAUUCAGUAACUGAGAGAAAUUAUGAUACUCGUUAAAUGAUCCUCACACGUUACUUAAAGGAAUUACUAUUUGAACUCCUAAGUCUUUAAAUUUUGCAAUAUGAAGAUGCAAUAUGAAAAUUGUACCCAUUGGAGAUACAAACAAAUUGAUUCCCACGUUUCGUAAGAAUCCUCACAGGAGACACACGAGUCAAUUUCCGCGCAUGAAGUAAUCUGGUGCAUCGUAACGUGGAUCACGUUUGCCUCUCUAGGUACUUGCACGAGUAUUAUGGAUUUCUAAACCUUUACGAAGCGCACACACGUGUCAUGUGUGCGCUAUAUAUUUCCAUGCAUCCGCAAAUGGUGUGUGCACGGUUGCCUCGGCACAUCAGCGUGAAUCGAGCGCGGGUGAAGGCUGCAAGUGUCUCUUCCUUGCGAAUGGCGGCAACGAAACGAGCGAAACUUCUCCAAUCGGCCUAAUCUUACGCCAGCGAGUUCACCAUUUCAUAGAAACAAGUUAAAUUCGCAGUAUGUUGGUUUAUCAUGGAAUUCAAUUAAUUGUAAUUGAUCAUAAUCGCUCAAUACACGAAUAUGUAUAGAUAUAUCGAAGUAUCAUCGGAUUGGUGACAAAAUUGAAAACAAUUAGAAUUCCGAUGAG
Hylaeus volcanicus is the source of this 3634-nucleotide long non-coding RNA. RefSeq lists it as uncharacterized. The record is from RefSeq and is a predicted model, not a curated record. The transcript has 3 exons. Lineage: Eukaryota; Metazoa; Arthropoda; Insecta; Hymenoptera; Colletidae.